RNAcentral lists this ribosomal RNA (358 nucleotides) under uncultured Acaulospora. Its description in RNAcentral is "SSU rRNA". It matches the Rfam family "Eukaryotic small subunit ribosomal RNA", at positions 569 to 929 of the family's 1831-position model. The record is from RNAcentral. Lineage: Eukaryota; Fungi; Glomeromycota; Glomeromycetes; Diversisporales; Acaulosporaceae.
AGCAGCCGCGGUAAUUCCAGCUUCAAUAGCGUAUAUUAAAGUUGUUGCAGUUAAAAAGCUUGUAGUUGAAUUUCGGGAUUUGUCCACUGGUCGGGCCUCAGGUCCGUACUGGUGUGAUGGGUUCCUACCUUCUGAAUUACCAGCAUGCCAUUUAGUUGGUGCGCCGGGGAAGCAGAGCUAUUGCCUUGAAAAAAUUAGAGUGCUUAAAGCAGGCUAUUUGCUUGAAUAGAUUAGCAUGGAAUAAUAAAAUAGGACGGCAUGGUUCUAUUUUGUUGGUUUCUAGGAUCACCGUAAUGAUUAAUAGGGAUAGUUGGGGGCAUUAGUAUUCAAUUGUCAGAGGUGAAAUUCUUGGAUUUAU